Molecule: ribosomal RNA, 479 nt
Filed under: uncultured bacterium
Lineage: Bacteria
Description: partial 16S ribosomal RNA
Rfam family: Bacterial small subunit ribosomal RNA
Source: RNAcentral
GAUGAACGCUGGCGGGAGGCCUAACACAUGCAAGCCGAGCGGUAUUUGUUCUUCGGAACAGAGAGAGCGGCGCACGGGUGCGGAACACGUGUGCAACCUGCCUUUAUCUGGGGGAUAGCCUUUCGAAAGGAAGAUUAAUACCCCAUAAUAUAUUGAGUGGCAUCACUUGAUAUUGAAAACUCCGGUGGAUAGAGAUGGGCACGCGCAAGAUUAGAUAGUUGGUGAGGUAACGGCUCACCAAGUCAAUGAUCUUUAGGGGGCCUGAGAGGGUGAUCCCCCACACUGGUACUGAGACACGGACCAGACUCCUACGGGAGGCAGCAGUGAGGAAUAUUGGACAAUGGGUUAGCGCCUGAUCCAGCCAUCCCGCGUGAAGGACGACGGCCCUAUGGGUUGUAAACUUCUUUUGUAUAGGGAUAAACCUACUCUCGUGAGAGUAGCUGAAGGUACUAUACGAAUAAGCACCGGCUAACUCCGUG